ACGGAGGGUGCAAGCGUUGUUCGGAUUCACUGGGUAUAAAGGGUGCGCAGGCGGCUUGAUAAGUCAGGGGUGAAAUAUGACGGCUUAACCGUCAAACUGCCCCUGAAACUGUCAGGCUUGAGUUCGAGAGAGGUAGGUGGAAUUCCAGGUGUAGCGGUGAAAUGCGUAAAUAUCUGGAGGAACACCGGUGGCGAAGGCGGCCUACUGGCUCGAUACUGACGCUCAGGCACGAAAGCAUGGGGAGCGAACGGG
Molecule: ribosomal RNA, 252 nt
Filed under: uncultured bacterium
Lineage: Bacteria
Description: partial 16S ribosomal RNA
Rfam family: Bacterial small subunit ribosomal RNA
Source: RNAcentral